Molecule: ribosomal RNA, 535 nt
Filed under: uncultured bacterium
Lineage: Bacteria
Description: bacterial SSU rRNA
Rfam family: Bacterial small subunit ribosomal RNA
Source: RNAcentral
UCAAGAAUAUUCCGCAAUGCCCGCAAGGGUGACGGAGCGACGCCGCGUGAUCGAUGAAGCUUUUCGGAGUGUAAAGAUCUUUUAUAAUGGACGAACAAAUGACGGUACAUUAUGAAUAAGGGGCUGCUAAUCUCGUGCCAGCAGCAGCGGUAAUACGAGAGCCCCAAGCGUUACCCGGAUUUAUUGGGCGUAAAGCGUGCGCAGGCGGUUUGUUAAGUUAAAAGUUAAAGCCUGAGGCUCAACCUCAGAUAAGCUUUUAAUACUGACAAACUAGAGGCUGGGAGAGGCAAGCGGAAUUACUGGUGUAGGGGUAAAAUCCGUUAAUAUCAGUAGGAACACCAAAUGCGAAGGCAGCUUGCUGGAACAGUUCUGACGCUGUAGCACGAAAGCGUGGGGAGCGAAGAGGAUUAGAUACCCUCGUAGUCCACGCCGUAAACUAUGGGCACUAGACAUUGGAAGUAUCGACCCUUUCAGUGUCGCAAUAUUUAAGCUAACGCGUUAAGUGCCCCGCCUGGGGAGUACGGCCGCAAGGCUA